This 450-nucleotide ribosomal RNA is filed under the name uncultured bacterium. Its description in RNAcentral is "partial 16S ribosomal RNA". It matches the Rfam family "Bacterial small subunit ribosomal RNA", at positions 354 to 796 of the family's 1533-position model. The record is from RNAcentral.
GUGGGGAAUUUUGGACAAUGGGCGCAAGCCUGAUCCAGCAAUGCCGCGUGCAGGAAGAAGGCCUUCGGGUUGUAAACUGCUUUUGUACGGAACGAAACGGUCCGGGUUAAUACCCUGGGCUAAUGACGGUACCGUAAGAAUAAGCACCGGCUAACUACGUGCCAGCAGCCGCGGUAAUACGUAGGGUGCAAGCGUUAAUCGGAAUUACUGGGCGUAAAGCGUGCGCAGGCGGUUUUGUAAGACAGGCGUGAAAUCCCCGGGCUCAACCUGGGAAUUGCGCUUGUGACUGCAAGGCUGGAGUGCGGCAGAGGGGGAUGGAAUUCCGCGUGUAGCAGUGAAAUGCGUAGAUAUGCGGAGGAACACCGAUGGCGAAGGCAAUCCCCUGGGCCUGCACUGACGCUCAUGCACGAAAGCGUGGGGAGCAAAUGGGAUUAGAAACCCCGGUAGUCC